Molecule: ribosomal RNA, 490 nt
Filed under: uncultured bacterium
Lineage: Bacteria
Description: bacterial SSU rRNA
Rfam family: Bacterial small subunit ribosomal RNA
Source: RNAcentral
GAUGAACGCUAGCUACAGGCUUAACACAUGCAAGUCGAGGGGAAACGACAUCGAAAGCUUGCUUUUGGUGGGCGUCGACCGGCGCACGGGUGAGUAACGCGUAUCCAACCUGCCCACCACUUGGGGAUAACCUUGCGAAAGUAAGACUAAUACCCAAUGAUAUCCCACGAAGGCAUCCGAAUGGGAUUAAAGAUUUAUCGGUGAUGGAUGGGGAUGCGUCUGAUUAGCUUGUUGGCGGGGUAACGGCCCACCAAGGCAACGAUCAGUAGGGGUUCUGAGAGGAAGGUCCCCCACAUUGGAACUGAGACACGGACCAAACUCCUACGGGAGGCAGCAGUGAGGAAUAUUGGUCAAUGGGCGAAAGCCUGAACCAGCCAAGUCGCGUGAGGGAAGACGGUCCUACGGAUUGUAAACCUCUUUUGUCGGGGAGCAAAGGGGCCAUUCAUGGCAGGAUGAGCGUACCCGAGAAAAAGCAUCGGCUAACUCCGUG